Pelodiscus sinensis (Chinese soft-shelled turtle) is the source of this 608-nucleotide non-coding RNA. Lineage: Eukaryota; Metazoa; Chordata; Testudines; Trionychidae. The record is from RefSeq and is a predicted model, not a curated record.
GCCUUGGAAAAAGAGACUGCACUCUCUGGAUUCCCUCUCAGGAGUGGAACAUUGCUAAAAUUCAGACUUUCCAUGAGCAGCGUUUGGGUGUGUGCAGCUGUCAGCACAUGAGACUAGCAAUGGAAUAUCCAGCUAAAUAUACUACCAGGAAACAAGCUUGGAGUGGAAGGGCCAAACCACUGUGAACAAGGUCAGUUUUUGUGGUCGUUCUAGCCUGAAUAAAAGCAAGAAGCAUGCAUCAUAACUAUUCCAAGGAGAUGGCAAAGGAGAGAUUGCCGCUCCAGUUCUAGAGAAGCAAGAAGUUUGGCUCAAAGUUCAAGUGCCACAUCCUCCUCUUAAGAUGGACAAGGUUUCUGUCUUCAAGGAGCUCAAAGAGAGAAAAUGAAAACAGGAGGCCUGAUAAACAGACACUGCACUUCUCUUUGACAAGGGCUAGAGAAAAUAUUAUUGGGAAAGGAAAGUUGACUGGGAUUCAGCCUGAAGGCAGCUCUGUGCUUCUUUGUGUACAUUGUAUUUGAACAGUGGGCAAAUUCACUUGCCAUGACUGGAGCCAAAUUUUAGAGGCAGUGUUCUCCUCUGGGAGCACAAGACUGAGGGUAUGUCUACAC